AGGAGUGUAGCUCAGUGGUAGAGCAUUUGCCUAGCAUGUGCUAGGCCCUAGGUUUGAUACCUAGCACUGCCA
Molecule: transfer RNA, 72 nt
Filed under: Heterocephalus glaber (naked mole-rat)
Lineage: Eukaryota; Metazoa; Chordata; Mammalia; Rodentia; Bathyergidae
Rfam family: tRNA
About the family: Transfer RNA (tRNA) molecules are approximately 80 nucleotides in length.
Source: Rfam by way of RNAcentral